ACGUAGGAGGCAAGCGUUAUCCGGAUUUAUUGGGCGUAAAGCGCGUGCAGGCGGUCUAUCAAGUUGGAUGUGAAAGCUCCCGGCUUAACCGGGAGAGGUCGUUCAAUACUGUUAGACUAGAGAAUGGGAGAGGGAGGUGGAAUUCUGGGUGUAGUGGUGAAAUGCGUAGAUAUCCAGAGGAACACCAGUGGCGAAAGCGGCCUCCUGGACCAUUUCUGACGCUAAGACGCGAAAGCUAGGGUAGCAAACGGG
RNAcentral lists this ribosomal RNA (252 nucleotides) under uncultured bacterium. RNAcentral's name for it is "partial 16S ribosomal RNA". It matches the Rfam family "Bacterial small subunit ribosomal RNA", at positions 525 to 776 of the family's 1533-position model. The record is from RNAcentral.